Long non-coding RNA from Arachis stenosperma, 2078 nucleotides. RefSeq lists it as uncharacterized. The record is from RefSeq and is a predicted model, not a curated record. The transcript is spliced from 9 exons. Lineage: Eukaryota; Viridiplantae; Streptophyta; Magnoliopsida; Fabales; Fabaceae.
AAAAAAGGGAUUUAUGCUCAAGCUAACAAGUGCAUAUGCUCAUGAUGAAGAUAUGGACCCCACUUAAUACCUUGAGAACAGGCUCAAGUACCUUGCGGAUCAGAAGGCUGAAGGGAUUAACUCAUACCCGCACAACAGAAAUGAUAGUAGGGUCAUUACAACACGUUUAAAUUGAAGAUAAUUGAUCCAAGUUUCAUAAGUGCUAAUUCAAUAUAGGGACUCUCUUCCCAGAAAUUAAAGAGUCAUUACAACAUAUUUAAAUUGAAGAUAAUUGAAAUCCCCUGCUUGCUUUAUUUGAAUUGUUUUUUAACUGCUAUGCGAGCUGUUGGUUCAACUCUUCUCAUGAUUUGGUAAUUUCUUUUGUUGAUUCAGGUUGGAAGAAUUUGCUUGCUGGAACAGAUUAGCUUACAAGGGAAUUGUAAUUAUUCAGUUUUUAGGAUGAAUCAAUUUUAAUUUGGAUUUCUAGUAGUGAAGAAAGACGUCUGAAGCUGUCUUCUGUCUCAAGAAUUAUUCCUGGGCAAAAAACUGCUGAUUUUCAACGUUACCUGCAUCCUGAGAAGGACUAUUUAUCUUUUUCACUAAUUUAUAAUAACAGAAAGCGGUCCCUUGAUUAUUUGAUUUACAAAGAUAAAGUUGAGGCAGAGGCGUGGAUUGCUGGUCUUAAAGCACUGAUAACUUCUGGUCGAGGUAGUCGAUCCAAAAUUGAUGGAUGGAGUGAUGGUGGCCUCAAUUUUGAUAUUCAAAUGACCAACAUUCCAAGGAGAAUAUUCUCAUACAUAUUUGAGAACCAUGCCAAUCAAGUGUGUCGGUGGGAAUGUGCAUACGAUUUUCUACCUUUAUGUGCAAUUCCAGCAACGGGAGAAGCAAAUUCAAUUUAUGUGUGGAGACAUACCCCCACUCCCCAUCUCCACCUGCAGCGCCGCAUAGCACACCGGAUUAUUGCUGUCUUCGCCGGUCGCAUUCGUCAACGGAGUCAACGCCACCGGAAAACCAGUUGCAUAUUGCCCUCGUGGAGACGCAUCCACAGGUGAAACCUUUAUCGCAACUCGUUUGCCGCUGCAUCGUCCUCCCAAUGCGUCGUCGUGGAUGUGUUUUAUGCCACAGAUGUGUCUUACCGAAGAUGGUUGAGGAGAAGAGGGUUGCGUGACACCUUCAAAGACUCACGUCGCAGUUCUCUUCCACAGAAAUGGUGAUUGGUCUACUUGACUUCAAUGAAGACUCACCUUGUACCACUGACAUCACACUUCUAUUCAAGGGGCCUGAUGGUGUAACAAUGUGGGAUCAGAGUGGCGAAUUCAAUCACCGUAUAAGGGUAAUAAAAGCGUGUCAGUGACCUCAACCCUUUGACAAAGGAGAAGCUGGAUCCGGGUGUAGGCAUAGUCACCGUCGAUGGAACAAAUGGCGGCGUCCUGGUGAGAUGAAAAGUAACCCGACGAAGACGCAAAUAGUGAGAAGAAUGAGGAUUAGGUAUGCUUGGUGGUGUGCCGUGUUGAGUUCGUAAUUGGCAUGAAAGUCUCUUGUUAGGUAUUUUCUGGCUGAAAUUGAGGGUCCUGAGCAAAAAUCUGAUUCAGAGGCUGAAAAGGACUGCAGAUGCUGUUGGAUUCUGACCUCCCUGCACUCGAAGUGGAUUUUCUGGAGCUACAGAAGCCCAAUUGGCGCGCUCUCAAUGGCGUUGGAAAGUCGACAUCCUGGGCUUUCCAGAAAUGUAUAAUAGUCCAUACUUUGCCCGAGAUUUGAUGGUUCAAACCGGCGUUGCAAAUCAGCUUCAGAAUUUCCAGCGUUUAACGCUGGAACUGGCAUAAAAAUUGGAGUUAAACGCCCAAACUGGCAUAAAAGCUGGCGUUUAACUCCAGAAAGAGUCUCUACACGAAAAUGCUUCAAUGCUCAGCCCAAGCACACACCAAGUGGGCCCAGAAGUGGAUUUUUCUGUCAUUUACUCAAUUCUGUAAACCCUAGGUUACUAGUUCACUAUUAAUAGGAUCUUUUGACAUUGUAUCUGUACCUCAUGACACUUUACACGUUUCUCAUUGUAUCUUCUACGGCAUGAGUCUCUAAACCCCAUGAUUGGGGGUGAGGAG